GGGCAUACCCGUAGACCUUGCCUAUCUCUGCUCAUGGACAGGCAGGGGGGACAGUGUAUGCAAGAGUAACAUGGAGUUCAUGACAGCUCUAGUCAGCUUUAUUCGUAGCCGAAUAAAUUGCAAAACUCCUACAUUC
Molecule: small nucleolar RNA, 136 nt
Organism: Suncus etruscus (white-toothed pygmy shrew)
Lineage: Eukaryota; Metazoa; Chordata; Mammalia; Eulipotyphla; Soricidae
Product: small nucleolar RNA SNORA58
Exons: 1
Source: RefSeq, a predicted model, not a curated record